UCCAUUCUAGACGCCAAGCAUGUUUGCACUCUGACAGAAGUGGCUUCCUGUUUUUGUUUGCUUGACUGCUUGCUUCUGAGACAGUCUCCUGAGCUCAGGGUGGCCUUAAUUUUUCCAUAUAUCUUAGAAUGACCUCGAAUGCACGAUCUUCCUGCCUCCACCUGCGAGGUAGAGGUAACAGACAUCUAGCUGCAGCCCUGCUUUUUAAGUGCCGAGGAAUGAGCUAUGGAGUAGGCAAGGGCCCUGGCACAUAAGCUAGGAAAGGAAACUUCAAGGAUGCUAAGAGAGGCAUGUCCCCAAUGUCUGGCUGAUACAAGUAAUGAAGUGCCCACCAAUCAGGUGAGCCAUGAUGAUGGCACCAGCAAGGGACCUUGGUGUUGGGGGAGCCUGGAGGGCCCAGAAGAGAAGAAGCAUGGGUGGACUUUGAGGGUGGGACUCAGAGAGCUGUCAGUUGAGAGGCGGAGCCUCCUCUGUCCAUCCCCGGGAGUGGCACAGCUCCAUCCCGCCCGCAUACAAGGAAGUUAUUUUCUGCAGAAAAGUCAGCUCUAACCACAGUGAAGAAGGAAUGCAGGAAGAGUCUCGGGAUCAGGAGCCCACAGGCUGGACUCACUCCAGCUUCUGCAGAGUCGGAACGAAGCCUCAGGAGGGAUGGCUCCACAGCAAGAAUCACCCUUUGUCUGGACCAGAGCCUGGGAGAAGCAGAAACAUGGGGCUCAUGCUGAGAAAGGCUCCAACCCCCGGUUCCCACUUGGGGUCCACCUUGGAAGACCGGACUGUAGCUGUUCCUUGCGGACAGGGCAGUCACCAGCAGAGAGAGAUGGGAGCUGAAACACAAGCCGCAGACCUCAGGUUAACCCAUGACAACCCUUGGCGCAGCCAGGGGCUUGGCUACUGGUUCUGGUGCUCCGUGGCGCAGCUCAGGACCUUAGAGUCUGAUCAUCAGUUCGGAUCAGAGAGCGGCUUGGGCCGCCAGCACCUACCUGAGGCUGUAGCAGCCGUGGCCUCUGCUUUGUCUGGAACCAGCCUGAUGCCAUCAGACACGUCCACCUGGUGAUCAGCCUCCUCCCUUGAGGCCCCAUCAUGCUGUGGUGACAGAGGAUUGCUUCUAACGUGUUCCUUGCAGAAGAUGAAGCACCAGCAGUCGGACAUGAGGCUGUGAUGUCAAGGGAACAUGAGGUCAAGGUGCAGAUCGAAGGAUUGCUUCUUCGGACAAGAACAAAACCACUAGCUGCAGUCUUUAGCAUUUAUUCUGAAACAGAUGUAAGAUGUGUGAAGUUAAGCCUAUUGUCUGAAUUUCACCAGCUUGUAGCAGACUGUCUUGGUAUUCAGUUAAAAACACAACAACUUUCGCUUAUAAAUACUGAAAUAGGGGUUGUACAGGAAAAACUACUUCUUGACAUUUAGAUUCUUGUUUCAAGGACACAAAAGUGCCUGUUCUCUGGCUUUCCGUGUCUACCUCACUUUCAAAGCCUGGCCAGUAGCUCUUCAGAUCACUCAAAACACUUUUAAAUCCUCUAAGCAAAGCUAAGGCCCUCAGGUCCAGGACAAACAUUACCUUGUUUCUUCCUCUUCGGGAGAUCUGGCAAACACCUUGCUUCUGGAGAUGUGAUCUCAAAUUUAAAGAGAAAGUACCGCUCUUUAGAGGCACCAUGGCUAGUUUUACCUGCCCCAGGUGACCACUCCCUGGGCUUCACAGGACUCAGCUCUGUGGCUUAGCACAUUCCAGAGAGAAGAGUGGGGCACUUCGAGGUUCCACUGUCUUGACUCUCCACAGGAAACCUAUCUUCUACAGUGACGUUCCUCUCAGCUUGCCCUGAAGCCCUGAGUCCCCCUGCCUCAGGCUACAGAGGCCUUGCUUCAGCCCUUCCUUCCCCAGGUCAAUCCUGGAAGAGGCCACUGUCUGCAGGAGACUCCUUCCUGGACAGGUCGGAUGGUUAAGAUUCCCAACUUCAGUGUCUCUGGUUUUAUGUGGAGGUCCUUGAUCCACUUUGUUCAAGGAGAUAAGAAUGGAUCGAUUCGAAUUCUUCUACAUGCUAACCGUCAUUACAGAGACAAAGUGUAAAGCAGAAACCGAAGGUGUGACUAUUCAGAGACUGCCCCAUCUGGGGAUCCAUCCCAUAAACCACCACCAAACCCAGACACCAUUGUGGAUGCCAACA
Molecule: long non-coding RNA, 2159 nt
Organism: Mus musculus (house mouse)
Lineage: Eukaryota; Metazoa; Chordata; Mammalia; Rodentia; Muridae
Product: predicted gene 15353
Exons: 3
Source: RefSeq, a predicted model, not a curated record